RNAcentral lists this unclassified non-coding RNA (339 nucleotides) under soil metagenome. Its description in RNAcentral is "partial contains 5.8S ribosomal RNA, internal transcribed spacer 2, and large subunit ribosomal RNA". The stretch from base 1 to 120 matches the Rfam family "5.8S ribosomal RNA", at positions 35 to 154 of the family's 154-position model. The record is from RNAcentral.
GAUGAAGAACGUAGCGAAAUGCGAUAACUAAUGUGAAUUGCAGAAUUCAGUGAAUCAUCGAGUCUUUGAACGCACAUUGCGCCACCUGGUAUUCCGGGGGGCAUGCCUGUCCGAGCGUCAUUGCUGCCCUCAAGCACGGCUUGUGUGUUGGGCUCCGUCCCCCCGGGGACGGGCCCGAAAGGCAGCGGCGGCACCGAGUCCGGUCCUCGAGCGUAUGGGGCUUUGUCACCCGCUCUGUAGGCCCGGCCGGCGCCAGCCGACAACCCAUCAUCCUUUUCAGGUUGACCUCGGAUCAGGUAGGGAUACCCGCUGAACUUAAGCAUAUCAAUAAGCGGAGGA